ACACGUAGGUGGCGAGCGUUAUCCGGAAUUAUUGGGCGUAAAGGGCGCGUAGGCGGCGAUUCAAGUUUGACGUGAAAGCUCCUGGCUUAACUGGGAGAGGUCGUUGGAAACUGAAUUGCUUGAGGCAAUGAGAGGGGUGCGGAAUUCCCGGUGUAGUGGUGGAAUGCGUAGAUAUCAGGAGGAACACCAGUGGCGAAAGCGGCAGCCUAGCAUUGGCCUGACGCUGAAGUGCGAAAGCGUGGGGAGCGAACGGGAUUAGAAACCCCGGUAGUCC
This 274-nucleotide ribosomal RNA is filed under the name uncultured bacterium. Its description in RNAcentral is "partial 16S ribosomal RNA". It matches the Rfam family "Bacterial small subunit ribosomal RNA", at positions 523 to 796 of the family's 1533-position model. The record is from RNAcentral.